Molecule: ribosomal RNA, 669 nt
Filed under: Triticum aestivum (bread wheat)
Lineage: Eukaryota; Viridiplantae; Streptophyta; Magnoliopsida; Poales; Poaceae
Description: partial small subunit ribosomal RNA
Source: RNAcentral
AUGAUUGUAGAUGCCCCUGCUUGGGUCUUUGAGGAAAUUAAUAAGUGGUUUAGAUCGUUCUUUUGGGAUGGAAAGGAUAAGGCGAAUGGUGGUCAAUGUCUAGUCGCUUGGGAUACAAUCUGCCGACCCAAAUGCUAUGGAGGUUUAGGUAUCAAGAACUUGAACUGGCAAGCACGAGCACUAAGAGUCCGGUGGGAGUGGCUAAAGCACACUAAGCCAAACAGACCUUGGUAGGGAUUGCAUAUGAUCGAGGAUCGGGACACACCGGAGCUCUUUGACAGCCAUGUACAUAUCGCUAUUGGUGUGGGAGACAUGAUCCUUUUUUGGCGAGAUCAAUGGAUACAUGGAUUUACAAUUGCGGAUAUCGCCCCUUUGCUACAAGGCACGGUCCAUGCGAGGGUGGCCAACGUACGGAUAGUGCAACAAGUAUUGAUCAAUGAUAGAUGGAGGGAGGACUGCCAGGUUGCUUCUUUCAUGGCCCAAAUGCAGUUUGUUCACCUUUGCCAUGCGAUCACCAUGAUGGAUAGAAACCAGGAGCAACGGGAUGAGUUACUUGGAUGUGCACCGCGUUUGGACAGUACUCUGCUAGCGCGAUAUAUGCCAGCUUGUACUCUAGCCUACCGAGGUCGCCUAUGGGCACAUGUGUGUGGAGGAGCUCGGCGCCACUAA